Molecule: ribosomal RNA, 255 nt
Filed under: uncultured bacterium
Lineage: Bacteria
Description: partial 16S ribosomal RNA
Rfam family: Bacterial small subunit ribosomal RNA
Source: RNAcentral
UACGAAGGGGGCUAGCGUUGCUCGGAAUUACUGGGCGUAAAGCGCACGUAGGCGGAUUGUUAAGUCGGGGGUGAAAUCCUGGAGCUCAACUCCAGAACUGCCUUCGAUACUGGCGAUCUCGAGUUCGGGGAGAGGUGAGUGGAACUGCGAGUGUAGAGGUGAAAUUCGUAGAUAUUCGCAAGAACACCAGUGGCGAAGGCGGCUCACUGGCCCGAUACUGACGCUGAGGUGCGAAAGCGUGGGGAGCAAACAGGG